RNAcentral lists this ribosomal RNA (1270 nucleotides) under Vibrio cholerae. RNAcentral describes it as "partial 23S ribosomal RNA". It matches the Rfam family "Bacterial large subunit ribosomal RNA", at positions 1 to 1327 of the family's 2925-position model. Lineage: Bacteria; Pseudomonadati; Pseudomonadota; Gammaproteobacteria; Vibrionales; Vibrionaceae. The record is from RNAcentral.
GGUUAAGUGACUAAGCGUACACGGUGGAUGCCUGGGCAGUCAGAGGCGAUGAAGGACGUACUAACUUGCGAUAAGCGCAGAUAAGGCAGUAAGAGCCGUUUGAGUCUGCGAUUUCCGAAUGGGGAAACCCAACUGCAUAAGCAGUUACUGUUAACUGAAUACAUAGGUUAACAGAGCAAACCGGGGGAACUGAAACAUCUAAGUACCCCGAGGAGAAGAAAUCAACCGAGAUUCCGGUAGUAGCGGCGAGCGAACCUGGAUUAGCCCUUAAGCACUCGGUGAAGUAGGUGAACAAGCUGGAAAGCUUGGCGAUACAGGGUGAUAGCCCCGUAACCGACGCUUCAUCGAGCGUGAAAUCGAGUAGGGCGGGACACGUGAUAUCCUGUCUGAAUAUGGGGGGACCAUCCUCCAAGGCUAAAUACUCCUGACUGACCGAUAGUGAACCAGUACCGUGAGGGAAAGGCGAAAAGAACCCCUGUGAGGGGAGUGAAAUAGAACCUGAAACCGUGUACGUACAAGCAGUAGGAGCACCUUCGUGGUGUGACUGCGUACCUUUUGUAUAAUGGGUCAGCGACUUAUAUUCAGUGGCAAGGUUAACCGUAUAGGGGAGCCGUAGCGAAAGCGAGUCUUAACUGGGCGCUCAGUCUCUGGAUAUAGACCCGAAACCGGGUGAUCUAGCCAUGGGCAGGUUGAAGGUUGAGUAACAUCAACUGGAGGACCGAACCGACUAAUGUUGAAAAAUUAGCGGAUGACUUGUGGCUAGGGGUGAAAGGCCAAUCAAACUCGGAGAUAGCUGGUUCUCCCCGAAAGCUAUUUAGGUAGCGCCUCGGACGAAUACUACUGGGGGUAGAGCACUGUUAAGGCUAGGGGGUCAUCCCGACUUACCAACCCUUUGCAAACUCCGAAUACCAGUAAGUACUAUCCGGGAGACACACGGCGGGUGCUAACGUCCGUCGUGGAGAGGGAAACAACCCAGACCGCCAGCUAAGGUCCCAAAGUAUUGCUAAGUGGGAAACGAUGUGGGAAGGCUCAGACAGCUAGGAUGUUGGCUUAGAAGCAGCCAUCAUUUAAAGAAAGCGUAAUAGCUCACUAGUCGAGUCGGCCUGCGCGGAAGAUGUAACGGGGCUAAGCAAUACACCGAAGCUGCGGCAAUGUCUUUUAGACAUUGGGUAGGGGAGCGUUCUGUAAGCCGUUGAAGGUGAAUCGUAAGGUUUGCUGGAGGUAUCAGAAGUGCGAAUGCUGACAUGAGUAACGACAAAGGGGGUGAAAA